This is a long non-coding RNA of Biomphalaria glabrata, 7893 nucleotides long. RefSeq lists it as uncharacterized. Lineage: Eukaryota; Metazoa; Mollusca; Gastropoda; Planorbidae. The record is from RefSeq and is a predicted model, not a curated record. The transcript is spliced from 7 exons.
UAGUUUCUAGAUCUAGAAGUAGGGCUAGCACUAGAUAACUAGAUCUAGAAGUAGACUCUAGAUCUAUCUAGAAAUAGACUUAGAAGGUGAUAGAUCUCUAGAUUCUAGAUUUCUAUGUAUCAUUAUGUAAAUUUAGUUCUUAAUAAGUCUAUUAUAGACUAUAGAACUAUAGAUUUAGACAUAAAUAUUUAGAUCUCUAAUAUAAUUAUUAUAAUCUGUGUUCUUAGACUUAGAGGACUUAUUAGAUAUAGAUCUAGACUAGUACUAGUAGACUCUUAAAUUAUUUUAGAUCUAGAACUAUAUACAAGAUCUAGUGUGACUAGAGUAGAGCCCUAGAAUUAGAAAAGGAUAGAUAAUCAAGUAGAUCUAGAAUAAUCUAGACUAGAUUUCACUAGAUCUAGUCAAUAGAUUUAGACCUAGUAGUAACAAAUAAAAAUUGUUUGUUUUUUUUAGUUUUUGUUCUUUAGGAGGGUUUUUGGGCCAAAGUCUUGUUCGGGUCUCUUGAUUUAGAAUGCACCAUUGAAGGACAUGGUCAGCAUUCUCUGGUGAUGGGCAAGUUUCUCUAGUCCCGACAUUUAACUUCCGGACAUAUAUUGUCUCAUUCAGUGAACAAGCCUUUUCCUUUGUGGAAACUAAACAAGCAUUACUACUGGUCGAUUUUGACUGACUGUAAUUUGACAGCAGUCACAAGGAUAGAAACUAGUAAGCUAGUUCCACAGUUCCGGAACAUCAUGCACGAGUGUAAAAAGUAAAAUACUGCACAUUAAGUACAACUGUAUAUUUGUCAGGAUAUUUUAAUGUAAAAUGACAACAGCAAUUUGAAAAAAAAAAUCGUAAAAUUGGUUUAAAUAAUUGCUAACUCUUGUUGUAAUUCCUUAACGUGAAGUGUGGGGAAAAAAAGAAACGUGAAUAUAAUACAGUGUAAAUAUGAAUUAAAAGACAUUCUACACAGUUAGCUUAGAGUGUCUCUAUAAGUUGUAUAUAAAUAUGCGGCCCGCCAUUCCCAAUUUUUAAAAUAAUGCAGCCCUCGAUACAAAAAGGUUGCCCACCCCUGAUCUAAGAUAUUCAUGUACUGUUUUGGAUGUUAUGUAUGUCGACAUAUCCGAUUUGAUUUUCUGGCCCAAUAAGGAGAGUCUCAGGCCCAAAAAAUUUAUUUGUACUUAUGACAGGAAGAUGACAGUAAUAAAUGACUGUUUUGAAAUUUUCAUUGAGAGACCUAGCAGCGUUAAAGCACAGGCACAAACCUAUUCUUCCUAUUAGCACAACACAGUAAAAUAUCUGAUUGGAACUCAUUACUUUCAAUAAAUGAAUUAAAAAUAUUUAUACUAAGCUUUAUAGUUUCUUUGGAUUUAAUAGCCUUUAAAUUUUUAUUUUUAGAAGUGAUGUUGUUCACAAGAGAAUCAAAUUUAACUUUUUGUUUUUUAAUGAGGUGAUAUCAAUCUCAGAAACCUUAGUUGGCAAAACUUUUUUAAGCUCUGAUGGAUUUAUCCAGUAAGAUAAUAAGCCUGUAACUGUCUUACUCUCUUUUAGCCUGGUGUUGGCUUCCAGCAUAAAUAAAGUGUCUGCCACAUUUCUUCUUCUUCUUCAUCGUUCUCAUUGUUAUGUUGGAGUGUUCAUAUGACUAGACCAGUACAUGAGAUGAACUGCGCAGUGGUUUCCAAAUCAGGGAGCUCUCCAUAUAGUUUUCUUUCUAUUGGGGUGAUUUGGGGCCAAUGUCUUAUACGGGCCUCUUGGUAGAGAGAGCAGUUUUGGAGGACGUGGUCGGCAUUUUCUGGUGAUACUCCACAUGGGCAGAUUUCACUGGUUCCAAUUUUGAGCUUCCGGAACAUGUGUUGUCGCAUUCUGUUGUGUCCGGUCCUGAGUCGAAAGAUUAGACGUUGGUCUUGUCGGGAUAGCUUAUAGUAAGCGUCAUCUUUCUUGUGAUUUGGAUGGGAGCUUGUCCAUUUCUCAUUUAUUUUAUCUACAAUUAAUUUCUUCAUUUCUUCUGGAUAGAGUGCAGAGUUUACUUGUGAGUUUGUUCUCCCACUCUUGGCGAGUGUGUCAGCCUUCUCAUUUCCUGCUAGUUGUAUGUGAGCUGGUAUCCAUUGAAUAACAGUUUUUUUGCUGUUGUUGUUGAGCUUUGUAAGUGCUGUUCUGAGGUUUUUAAUAUGAGGGGAAUCAGAGUUUUGCAAGCUUUGGAGGGUUGUUUUCACGUCUGUUAGAAAGACAAUCUGACUGUGGGGGGAACUUGGAUGAUUUGCUAACAUGGUAGCAGCUAGUGCUAGUGCUUCCCUUUCUGCUCUGUGACUGUCAGAGAACUCUCCAGUUGCAAUGGAUUUUUCUAGUUUUCCUCCAUCUGGCCAUUCGAUAAGUAUUCCAGCUCCUCCAUUUGUGGUGGCUUUAUGGGAUGAGCCAUCCGUGUAAACUCUGAUCCACUGAUUGCUAGGGUAAUUGGUAUGUAGAAAACAGUUCACUAUUUCCUUGAGCUCUGUUGGUCUGUAAUCAGAUUUUCUUUUUAUGUUUUCAAUAUGGUCCCUUAUAGUAGGAAGAGGGCUUUCGUCCCAGGGUAGAGAUUCAUUAUAGUGUAUUGAGGAUUCCAGAGUAAUUUUUUCAAGUUGGUGUUUCUUUUUUAGGUUUAGAGAUUCCUGUAUGAAAUUGGUCCUUUUGAGACGUUUUUUUGUGCCAGUUUUGUGGAUUUUUGUUCUGAGUGGGUGCCUCUCCAAGGUUUCCAAUUUAGUGAAUUGGGAAAGGAUUUUUAUUUCUCUUCUUUUAUCCAGAGAGAUUAGGGCAGCGGUUUCCUCCAUAGCUCUUAUGGGUGUUGUUUUGAUUGCUCCUGUCAUUAUCCUUUGACCAAUAUUUUGAACCUUGUCUAUUUUUCUUAGGUUGGUUUGGGCUGCUGAGCCCCAUGCUGUGGCACCAUAUUCUAGUACAGGUCUUACAUAACUGGUAUAGGUCUUUUUCAGGAUGUUGUGAUUAGCUCCCCAAUCUGUGCCAGCUAAUUUUUUCAAGAGGGAUAGUCUCUGGAUGCCUUUACACUGUGUUUUAUCUAUUUGGUUUUUCCAGGUUAGUCUCGGGUCAUAGGUGACUCCAAGAUAAGUAGGGCUGUCAUUUUUUUCUAAAGCUUCCAAAUCUAAUGUUAAUUUUAUUGUUUGUUGUUUUGUUGACAGUGAGAAUAUGGUAUAUGUGGUCUUUUUUGUGUUGAUGGACAUGCCCCAGUCUUUGGACCAAUUAUUGAGUUUAUCAAGAGCAUCUUGUAAUCGAAAUUUCGAUGUUCCUACAUAUUCUUCUGUGCUAAUUAUGGCAAGGUCAUCUGCAUACAUGCUGCUUUUAACUUUUCUAGCCUCCAAGAAUGAAAUCAGCUCAGCCUUGAGUUGGACGACACCCUUUAACACUUUUCCCCUGGAGAGCCAACGAACGUUGGUGUGAUACAGGAGACAUUAGUAGUCUGAAUCCAUUGCUUCACAAAGCUCUGAGGAAAGUCAGAAUGCAAGCGGUCUAGAUUUGAGGAAGUUUACAACUUCAAUCACUUGAUCCAGAACAGACAUCAAAUAUUUGAAGGCAAGAGCUUCUCUGUGGAUCAUGCAGUGAACAACUAAUACAUUUGGAUUUUCUUGACGCACAAGAGUGAAGAAUCCCUUUCUAUUUCCCUGCAUGGAAGGACAGCCAUCGGUGCAAACGCUGACACAGUUUGUCUCCACUGUACUUUGAAUAGCAAAAUGUUUUCGUUCACCACUUAAAAAUAUCUUCGCCUUUGGUCGUAGUUGGUAAGUCUUUGCAAAAUAAGAAUUUGUUGACACAUUUUUCAUCCUUUAUGAACUGAAUAAAAGCUAACAACUGGGCUUUGCACUAAUGUCAGUGGAUUCAUCCACUUGAAGGGACCACAACAGAGACAGUUCAUCGUCAGUCAUUUCGAAGUGUUUGAAGAUUUGAUCUUGUAAAUCUGACAAUAAGUCUUCAAUUCUGCGCAAGAUAGUACUAUUUGACAAAGGAACUUUUUUAACUUUUUCGGCAGCAUCGGGUCCAAGGAUAGUUUCAACAACUAUUUCUAAAGCUGGUGCAAUGACUGCUUCAGCCUCUGUGUGUUCUUUCUUGCAUUUGCUAAUAACUGAACAACCUUAUAAAUUGCAAUUAAUCCCUUUUCUGAAAGCUUUAGGUAGUUCGUAAGUUUCUUAGCUUGUUUAUUUUGUUGAGCCCUGAUGUUUUCGAAGUAUUCCUUCAGUUGCGCUUUUACAGCUGGAUGUUUUGUUUCCAAGUGUCUCUUCAAUUUGCUUGGUACAAGCGCCUCAUUCAACAGAGCUGAAUUGCAGAUCAGACAGAAUGACAAUGGAGAAUCUUCAGGUCCUGAAGAUAUGAAACCAUAUCCGAUGUAAUCUUCUUUGUACCUUUGUUUGGUUCCAUGCUUUUCAUUGAACGCUUUCGCAGUUUCAUUCUUAGCAACGUAUUUCUCCAUGGAUAACAAUGAUUAAGGCUUAGUAAUAAUUUGUUAUUAUUAGCAUACACCUACAAAAUUUACAUGAAACACAUCGCUUAUUAUUAUCAUUACCAAUAUAAGAACUGCUGAGCAUCUGCUAAGGCGGCCUACAUUUGAGUCAUUAUAAUAAUAUAUGUAUAGUGGACAACUCCAUAACCUGAAGAGCUAACACCCCUUUCCGUCAAAAUGUAGUGAUCCACUACUAUUACUGGUCGUUGCAAGCUUGGAUGUCGUCACAAGGUAAAAUAAAAAUUUGAUAGUAGGCAAACCUGUGUAACGCUGCACGUGUGGCAUUCUGAAAACUCCUCGGCACACCUGCAAAUCUUCAGCGGCACACAGUUUGAGAAACACUGCCCUAGACAAUAAUAAAUAUUGACUAUUCAAUCUGAUUCUACAUUUAUGUCAAACAAUAUUAUUAAUAUAGUAUAGAUGUCUAGAUAUGCUAACUUAAAUAGUUAGAAUAUAGAUCUAGAAUCUAGUCUAGAUUAGUUAUUGGUAGAUCUAGAUCUAAUCUAGGUCUAACAAUAAAAUUGAUUCGGAAUACCUUGAACUCAUCCUUUGUGAUUGUGUAAGCACUUUCAGUAGAACAAGAUUAUAAGUGAAGAGAUCUGGAUAACACAAGGAGGGCAGCAAAUCAUUUUCUUUAUUACGCUGGCUUGCUUUCAAAGUGUGGCGAUUUUAUUGUUUACCAUGGAGUUGUCUACUUUUCAAAUUUUACUGACCAAGUUUUUUACAGUGACUGAUCCAUCAGCAGUUUCCGAAGCAGUAACUGAUAUCUCAAAAGAUAUCGCUUUUCUGAUGGUGUCUAGUCACCUCAGAGGAUCAACAGGAUUUGUUCAUUGAAAGACACUUGAAGGUGUAGGCAGUUAAAGCAAAAGGACUUCUUGCAAUGUUUGUUUCAAGGACCAGACAAAACAGAAUUCCACAACAUAUGUAUCGGAAGCUCAAAAUCAGAAACUGAAAUCUGCCCAUGUGGAGUGUCACCAGAGAAUGUUGACCAUCUCCUCCAAAAUUGCUCUCUUUACCAAGAGGCUGUACAUGACACUGGCCCCAAAACACCCCAAUAGAAAGAAAACUAUAUGGAGAGUUCCCUGAUUUGGAAAUCACUGCAAAAAUAAUCUCAUAUACUGGUCCAGUCAUCUGAAUGCUCCAAUAAAAAAAUGAGAAGGAAGAACAAAGAAGAUUGUAUGUACCAUUUUUGUUUGUUUGAGGAUGGGGAGAAAAGUGAUCUUAGAAUUCAAACACCAAAAGGAAGCAACAUGGCUAUCGAAAAGCAGAGACCAUACAAACCUCAUUAGAUGAAGAGUUUUAUUUUGUUGGUAAAGUCCUUGGUUUUGAGCCAUCAGAGAAACAUAGAAAGCUCUGUUUUGACAAUAUAUAAAGAGUGACUUUAGCUCAACUCCUCACCAAGCUUUACAGUCUGUGACAUUUUUUUGGUAAAACUUUUAAUCAGAUUUAUGUGUGUAUACUUCAUUAUGUUAACUACAUGUAUCAAGAAUACUCAAUUCAUAAAAAGAAGCUGCUUUAAAGGAUUAAAGAUAACUUUGACCCUUUUGAGAAAACAAAUUGAAACACAAGAUUUUGAAUUAAUUUUGUAAUUCUUUUAUAUUUUUUUUUUUCUGAAAGCCACAUAACGACACAAGUAUUUAUUCAAGGUUUUGAAUGUAUGGUAUACUGUUAGGUUUAGUAUUGAGUCAUUCAGUAAAUUGUUUUUGUUUUGUGGUUUUUAUAAAUUAAUAAAUGGAAGUUUAUAUAAUGUGUUAUGUUUAAAUGUAUGAUUUUUUUUACUGAUCUAAAGAAAGAAACUUGAGGAUUUUAAUUUGUAUUCCUUUUGAAACAUGUCAGGAAUAUUAGAACAUUGGUUGGCAACAUUAUUAGUGUCAAAAUGUAUUUCACUUGGUAGCCAAGAAUGCUUAUAACUGAGAUGACAUCAGUAACUGUGGUUAACAAGGGUGCCAUGUUGUCAGCACAAUAACCAACCGCCUUUACUUUUUCCUAACUCGUAUAAUAAUAAUAAUAAUAAUAAUCUUUAUUAUCCUUAAGGAAAUUUGUCUUACAAUUUGUGCAUUACACCAAACAAAAAACAUUAUAACUAUAAGAAACCAAAGUGUACAUUCACACCAGACUCACUCAUAAUUUACAUGUGACAAAGUUUAUACCAGAUUGUUCUUAUUUAACGAUUUGAUUGCCAGGGGAACAAAAGAGUGUUUGUGUCUGUUUGUCUUUGCUAUCGGUGUCUUGUAUCUCUUUUGUGAUGGUAAAAUCACAAAAUCCUGACACAAAGGGUGAUUCUUAAUUUCGAGGAUCUUGUUAGCUUUUUUAUAGAUGUUUGUCUCAAACAACUGCCCAAAUGGGGUUUGUUUUUUGCCAAUGAUUUUGCCAGCAGCAUUUAGGAUUCUAUGAAGUUACCCAUUAGAGCUGGGUGGACUCGAAGGCACCAUAAAGAUCCCAAAAUUAAAAAUACCCGUCUUCACCAGGAUUUGAACCCAGGGUCCUCCUGUUUGGAAGUCAAGUGCUUUACCACUCAUCCACAUGCCUCUGUUAAAGGCUAGAUUUUGUGACAAUUAUUUUUAGGAGAGAGAAAGAUGUAUGCACAAAGUUGUAGCUUUUUUUUAAUUUUUAUUAAAUUUAUUUGUAUUUAACCACUGACUUAUUAAUCUCUGAAUUGUCAAAUUUAAGUUUGUAAUCAGUUAGUGUUGACCUUGGCUUGAUAGGCUAAAAGGAUUAACAAUAAUAAUAAUAAUAAUUAUAGCUUGUAUGUAGUGCUACUUUCAUGCUUACAGCAUGCUCAGAGUGCUGUGUUCCAAUCUUAUGUGUGGACCAGUAGGGGGGGGGAUUUGGGAAAGGGUUUUCCGUGCUGCCUUCGGGUACUCAGUAAACAGAACUCUGCUUGAGUCGUGUGUUGAACCUAGAGUCACCUUGAUAGGUAGCCGAGCCAAGCCAAGUUCAAGCAUACUUAGCCUCUUGACCACGCCUCCACAUUGAAAUUAAAUUGUAAAUGUUAAAUAUUUUUUAAAAUUUAAUACAGAAUUUGAUAUUUAUGAAAUAUUUAAUACAGAAUUUGAUAUUGAUGAAAAAUUUAAUACAGAAUUUGAUAUUGAUUACAAAAAAUAAUACAGAAUUUGAUAUUGAUACCAUUUCAUUUGUGUGUGUGUGUGUUUCCAAUAAUAUUUCUAUGAAUGUACAAUUUAUUCUCUAGAUAAAGAUUCAUUUUCUGUUUUGUAAGGCAGCUCUCAAUCCUCAGUGUUAUGAACAUAAUGAUAACUGAGUCGAAAACCAUGUCCGCUUAGUAUGGCUUUAAUACACUGAAUGACUACACAGCACACAUUUUGUGAACACAUUCUUACGGACGAGUUACAAUCACAUGUAAACAUAAGAACGAAAACCGAUACAGCAUAUAAUUUUCAUAAGUGAAAUUCUAAAUUUACUGAACUAAACAGACU